Molecule: ribosomal RNA, 253 nt
Filed under: uncultured bacterium
Lineage: Bacteria
Description: partial 16S ribosomal RNA
Rfam family: Bacterial small subunit ribosomal RNA
Source: RNAcentral
UACGGGGGGGGCAAGCGUUGUUCGGAAUUACUGGGCGUAAAGGGCUCGUAGGUGGCCAACUAAGUCAGACGUGAAAUCCCUCAGCUUAACUGGGGAAUUGCGUCUGAUACUGGAUGGCUUGAGAUUGGGAGAGGGAUGCGGAAUUCCAGGUGUAGCGGUGAAAUGCGUAGAUAUCUGGAGGAACACCGGUGGCGAAGGCGGCAUCCUGGACCAACACUGACACUGAGGAGCGAAAGCCAGGGGAGCAAACGGG